RNAcentral lists this ribosomal RNA (253 nucleotides) under uncultured bacterium. RNAcentral's name for it is "partial 16S ribosomal RNA". It matches the Rfam family "Bacterial small subunit ribosomal RNA", at positions 524 to 776 of the family's 1533-position model. The record is from RNAcentral.
CACGUAGGGUGCGAGCGUUGUCCGGAAUUAUUGGGCGUAAAGAGCUCGUAGGCGGUGUGUCGCGUCGGAUGUGAAAGCCCGGGGCUUAACCCCGGGUCUGCAUUCGAUACGGGCAGACUAGAGUGUGGUAGGGGAGAUCGGAAUUCCUGGUGUAGCGGUGAAAUGCGCAGAUAUCAGGAGGAACACCGGUGGCGAAGGCGGAUCUCUGGGCCAUUACUGACGCUGAGGAGCGAAAGCGUGGGGAGCGAACAGG